RNAcentral lists this ribosomal RNA (389 nucleotides) under Gephyrocapsa cf. oceanica. Its description in RNAcentral is "partial small subunit ribosomal RNA". It matches the Rfam family "Eukaryotic small subunit ribosomal RNA", at positions 582 to 975 of the family's 1831-position model. Lineage: Eukaryota; Haptophyta; Isochrysidales; Noelaerhabdaceae. The record is from RNAcentral.
AUUCCAGCUCCAAUAGCGUAUAUUAAAGUUGUUGCAGUUAAAACGCUCGUAGUCGGAUUUCGGGGCGGGCCGACCGGUCUGCCGAUGGGUAUGCACUGGCCGGCGCGUCCUUCCACCCGGAGACCGCGCCUACUCUUAACUGAGCGGGCGCGGGAGACGGGUCUUUUACUUUGAAAAAAUCAGAGUGUUUCAAGCAGGCAGUCGCUCUUGCAUGGAUUAGCAUGGGAUAAUGAAAUAGGAACUCGUUUCUAUUUUGUUGGUUUUCGGAAAUCGAGUUAAUGAUUAACAGGGACAAUUGGGGGCAUUAGUAUUCAGACGACAGAGGUGAAAUUCUUAGACCGUCUGAAGACUGGCUACUGCGAAAGCAUUUGCCAAGAGUGUUUUCAUCA